GACGAACGCUGGCGGCGUGCUUAACACAUGCAAGUCGAACGGUAAGGCCCUUCGGGGUACACGAGUGGCGAACGGGUGAGUAACACGUGGGUGAUCUGCCCUACACUUCGGGAUAAGCCUGGGAAACUGGGUCUAAUACCGGAUAGGACCCUGGGAUGCAUGUCCUGGGGUGGAAAGCUUUUGCGGUGUGGGAUGGGCCCGCGGCCUAUCAGCUUGUUGGUGGGGUGAUGGCCUACCAAGGCGACGACGGGUAGCCGGCCUGAGAGGGUGACCGGCCACACUGGGACUGAGAUACGGCCCAGCCUCCUACGGGAGGCAGCAGUGGGGAAUAGUGCACAAUGGGCGCAAGCCUGAUGCAGCGACGCCGCGUGAGGGAUGACGGCCUUCGGGUUGUAAACCUCUUUCAGCACCGACGAAGCGCAAGUGACGGUAGGUGCAGAAGAAGGACCGGCCAACUACGUGCCAGCCGCCGCCGUAA
RNAcentral lists this ribosomal RNA (478 nucleotides) under uncultured bacterium. Its description in RNAcentral is "partial 16S ribosomal RNA". It matches the Rfam family "Bacterial small subunit ribosomal RNA", at positions 28 to 523 of the family's 1533-position model. The record is from RNAcentral.